AACAAGAGAGAGCAUUGCAGGGUAACAACCAGGGGGACAUCCAGUCAUGGUGGACCACAGAAACGAGAUCGGAGAAGCAACACAACAGGAGAGCAAGCUUGGAAAAGGACAACAGCCUGUCCGGCAUGUUCAAGCUGCCCCCCUGCUGGGCGGCCCAUGAGCCCGUCGAUAUACCGGUUUGAUGUUGGACGGAAAAUUAGAACCCCCCACAACAAACGGACUGGAACAGAGAGAUUGGAAGAGGGACAGAGAGAAUAGAAAGGGAACAACCAUUGACAGAUGGACUCGGUUGUGAUUAAAGAUGGCGUCAGUCUUCACUGCAGACUACGAAGGACUGUAUCCGAUCUGUAAAGAAGUGGUGGGAGUUGUCUGCGGUUCAGCUCGUCAGAACCAUGAAGAAAGCGGCGUGGCACAUCAGGAGGAAGAAACUGGACUGGACUGCAGAGAUAAACUCGUACAGCAAUGUUCUGCCCCAGUCAGACCUUUCCAAUGGUGGGAAAUUAAGCUGGCUUUAUUAUUACUGCAGGAUUGUGCAUUAAAUACCCCUACAAUGGAAUCAUCAGUGACAGGACCCAGACCUGGAGGAUGCAUGAGGAAGACACUCAAAC
Molecule: long non-coding RNA, 608 nt
Organism: Fundulus heteroclitus (mummichog)
Lineage: Eukaryota; Metazoa; Chordata; Actinopteri; Cyprinodontiformes; Fundulidae
Exons: 3
Source: RefSeq, a predicted model, not a curated record